RNAcentral lists this unclassified non-coding RNA (336 nucleotides) under soil metagenome. RNAcentral's name for it is "partial contains 5.8S ribosomal RNA, internal transcribed spacer 2, and large subunit ribosomal RNA". The stretch from base 1 to 120 matches the Rfam family "5.8S ribosomal RNA", at positions 35 to 154 of the family's 154-position model. The record is from RNAcentral.
GAUGAAGAACGUAGCGAAAUGCGAUAAGUAAUGUGAAUUGCAGAAUUCAGUGUAUCAUCGAAUCUUUGAACGCACAUUGCGCCCGCCAGUAUUCUGGCGGGCAUGCCUGUUCGAGCGUCAUUUCAACCAUCAAGCCCCAGGCUUGUGUUGGGGACCUGCGGCUGCCGCAGGCCCUGAAAACCAGUGGCGGGCUCGCUGUCACACCGGGCGUAGUAGAUUUUAUCUCGCUCAGGGCGUGCUGCGGGUUCCGGCCGUUAAAAAGCCUUUUUUACCCAAGGUUGACCUCGGAUCAGGUAGGAAGACCCGCUGAACUUAAGCAUAUCAAUAAGCGGAGGA